RNAcentral lists this ribosomal RNA (254 nucleotides) under uncultured bacterium. Its description in RNAcentral is "partial 16S ribosomal RNA". It matches the Rfam family "Bacterial small subunit ribosomal RNA", at positions 524 to 776 of the family's 1533-position model. The record is from RNAcentral.
UACGUAGGGGCCGAGCGUUGUCCGGAUUUAUUGGGCGUAAAGAGCUCGUAGGCGGUUCGGCAAGUCGGAUGUGAAAUCUCCACGCUUAACGUGGAGGGGCCAUUCGAAACUGCCGUGACUCGAGUCCGGUAGGGGAGUGUGGAAUUCCCGGUGUAGCGGUGAAAUGCGCAGAUAUCGGGAGGAACACCAGUAGCGAAGGCGGCACUCUGGGCCGGUACUGACGCUGAUGAGCGAAAGCGUGGGGAGCGAACAGG